UACAGAGGGUGCAAGCGUUAAUCGGAAUUACUGGGCGUAAAGGGCGCGUAGGUGGUUAUGUAAGUGAGAUGUGAAAUCCCUGGGCUCAACCUGGGAAGUGCAUCUUAUACUGCGUAGCUGGAGUACAUGAGAGGGUAGUGGAAUUUCCGGUGUAGCGGUGAAAUGCGUAGAUAUCGGAAGGAACACCAGUGGCGAAGGCGGCUACCUGGCAUGAUACUGACACUGAGGCGCGAGAGCGUGGGGAGCAAACAG
RNAcentral lists this ribosomal RNA (252 nucleotides) under uncultured bacterium. RNAcentral describes it as "partial 16S ribosomal RNA". It matches the Rfam family "Bacterial small subunit ribosomal RNA", at positions 524 to 775 of the family's 1533-position model. The record is from RNAcentral.